AUGAAACACUCCUACGGGAGGCAGCAGUGGGGAAUUUUGGACAAUGGGGGCAACCCUGAUCCAGCAAUGCCGCGUGAGUGAAGAAGGCCUUCGGGUUGUAAAGCUCUUUUGUCAGGGAAGAAACGGCGGAGGCUAAUAUCCUCUGCUAAUGACGGUACCUGAAGAAUAAGCACCGGCUAACUACGUGCCAGCAGCCGCGGUAAUACGUAGGGUGCAAGCGUUAAUCGGAAUUACUGGGCGUAAAGCGUGCGCAGGCGGUUGUGCAAGACAGAUGUGAAAUCCCCGGGCUUAACCUGGGAAUUGCAUUUGUGACUGCACGGCUAGAGUGUGUCAGAGGGGGGUAGAAUUCCACGUGUAGCAGUGAAAUGCGUAGAGAUGUGGAGGAAUACCGAUGGCGAAGGCAGCCCCCUGGGAUAACACUGACGCUCAUGCACGAAAGCGUGGGGAGCAAACAGGAUUAGAAACCCUAGUAGUCCGAAGUUC
RNAcentral lists this ribosomal RNA (483 nucleotides) under uncultured bacterium. RNAcentral's name for it is "bacterial SSU rRNA". It matches the Rfam family "Bacterial small subunit ribosomal RNA", at positions 328 to 802 of the family's 1533-position model. The record is from RNAcentral.